Long non-coding RNA from Zingiber officinale, 856 nucleotides. RefSeq lists it as uncharacterized. The record is from RefSeq and is a predicted model, not a curated record. The transcript is spliced from 5 exons. Lineage: Eukaryota; Viridiplantae; Streptophyta; Magnoliopsida; Zingiberales; Zingiberaceae.
CGACCCGACUCACUCUCUUCCUCUUUCUCUCUCGCGCGAUCUCCCCGACGCCUACGCCGACGCCUGCUGUGACCAUCGGCGAUCUUCUCCUUCUUCUUCUCUCGGAGGCGCCGACGGCGAGGGAUCUCGGAACGUUGGGAAGGAGGGAUCCUAUUCCUUUCCCGACCUUUCCUUCUCCUCUGGUCUCGGCGAACCGCGGCGACGGGGCUUCGAUUUGGGGUUUGCGCUUAUUGUUGGAAAGGGACCGAGGGCACCGGCGUUAGAUCUGGCCAGCGUCGAACGAUUGUGUGAGGUCACGAUCAUUAUCCCUCUCCGAUCUCCUUCCCUUGCUCGUCGGCAAGCACAGAUCGUGCCCUAGCCGGGAUUUGUGGAGGUUUUGGUUGAGAAUUAGGGUUCUGACCUCUUCUCUGUGCGUUAGCAAGAACAAGACCGAGCCCUAAUCGGGAUAUUGGAGGGGUGCUGUGGUGAUUUCAGCCAUCACAGAUUGAUUGGGUUGGUUCCUCCACCGGAGUUGUGAUCAUCUCCGGCGAUUGAAGCAGUAGAGGACCUUGAUCUAUACGAGCAGCGUGACACGGGGUGGUUCUGUUGAUACGAGAUAUCUGGAGGCGGGUAGUAGGUAGAUGAUAUGGAGUUACUUGGAGUAUGCUGCCAGCCGGUCCCAUUUCCCGCGUUACAUCUGAGGAUUCUUAUCGGUUUUUAGUCUUUUACUAUUAGCAUUUUAUGUUUCAUGGAUUUGGUGUUGUCAUUUUAUACUAUGACUUGAUACGUGUAUUGUGGACUUAUACCUGUGGUGUGUUUUUGUGGACUUUCGAUUAUGUGGGUUUCAUAUUCGUUUUCCGCUGAGCUUUUUGAUAUA